RNAcentral lists this long non-coding RNA (303 nucleotides) under Lathyrus oleraceus (garden pea). Its description in RNAcentral is "Pisum sativum (pea) long non-coding RNA (PSAT_LNC000456)". Lineage: Eukaryota; Viridiplantae; Streptophyta; Magnoliopsida; Fabales; Fabaceae. The record is from RNAcentral.
UGGAGCACUUAGCGUCUAACCCUAGAACUUCUAGACAGCUGUCCAGAAGAAGAUCAAAGGUGAAACGUUUGAGAUCUCCUCGAGCAGUGUGCGUACUGUUGGGAUUAGACAUUCAUUAAUUAGCCUUAAUCAUUUCUCCCCCAAGCGUGCUAACUUGAAAUUUGUGCUAACGCUGAAUGAUGUGUCGUUUUGCAUGUGUUUUAACUUAGGGUAUUUAAACACUUUUCUCACAUUUCACACACUUAUCACUCUCACUCACUCUCAAACCCUUUCUAAACCCUCUCUGAAGCAUUUCUACAAACA